RNAcentral lists this ribosomal RNA (253 nucleotides) under uncultured bacterium. Its description in RNAcentral is "partial 16S ribosomal RNA". It matches the Rfam family "Bacterial small subunit ribosomal RNA", at positions 524 to 776 of the family's 1533-position model. The record is from RNAcentral.
UACAGAGGGUGCGAGCGUUAAUCGGAAUUACUGGGCGUAAAGCGCGCGUAGGCGGCUUUGCAAGUCGGGUGUGAAAUCCCCAAGCUUAACUUGGGAACUGCAUUCGAGACUGCAUUGCUAGAGUAUGGGAGAGGGAAGUGGAAUUUCCGGUGUAGCGGUGAAAUGCGUAGAUAUCGGAAGGAACAUCAGUGGCGAAAGCGACUUCCUGGACCAAUACUGACGCUCAUGAGCGAAAGCGUGGGGAGCAAACAGG